AAACCGCACAACUUUCACCGUACAACAGUUAGAAGAAUUGGAAAAAGCUUUCACUCAAACCCAUUAUCCCGAUGUGUUUACUAGAGAAGAUCUAGCUAUGAAGAUCAAUUUAACUGAAGCGAGAGUUCAGGUAUGGUUUCAAAAUCGAAGGGCUAAGUGGAGAAAAGCCGAAAGAUUGCGAAAAGAGAGAGAAGGUAAUCA
This is a long non-coding RNA of Centruroides sculpturatus (bark scorpion), 201 nucleotides long. RefSeq lists it as uncharacterized. The record is from RefSeq and is a predicted model, not a curated record. The transcript has 3 exons. Lineage: Eukaryota; Metazoa; Arthropoda; Arachnida; Scorpiones; Buthidae.